This 3177-nucleotide long non-coding RNA is filed under the name Hordeum vulgare. Its description in RNAcentral is "long non-coding RNA (HVUL_LNC003630)". The stretch from base 2155 to 2290 matches the Rfam family "MIR1120/MIR1122 microRNA precursor family". Lineage: Eukaryota; Viridiplantae; Streptophyta; Magnoliopsida; Poales; Poaceae. The record is from RNAcentral.
GAAAAUAAUGGUAGGAAUUCUUCCAAACACAUUACACCAUUGCCGGCCUCUAUAUAGGCCGAGUAACCUAGUAAUAUCUCUGCCACAUUUGUGGCCCGCGAAAAGUACGAUGGAACAAUCCCAUUUGGCAGUACACAAAAUAUAUGGGAAUUUUCCUAAGAAAAACAAAAUGGAACAAAGAAAACACUUGGCGGCUCCACAGAGAAAUUUGACAUGGAGGCAGCUAGCACGGUGAUGACUGGCCGAUUAGCAGCCGUUGCAGCCGCACUUUUGUUGCACGAGGUUGCACUUGCCGCUGGGAUCGCAGUUGAAGGUGGAGCAGCAGCUCGUGAUCUGGCAGCUGCCCGGGUUCGACUUGGAGCAGCACCGGCACUGGAGGCACGCUGGCGCUCCCGCUGCCAACGUCCCCGCGCCGCCGCCCGGGAUCGCCGUCAGCGCGUGCUCAGGCGCCCCCACCGGCACCAUGUCCGCAUCCCAUGCUGGUCAUUAGUCACGGCAGAAAAAACAAUCAGCGAUCAUCACAACAGAAAAGGAAACAUAUGAUCUCCGUUAUGCGUGUUAAUACCUUGAGCUCGUGGGGUGGCGAAGAGGAGCGUGGUGGCUGCGAGAGCGAUGGCGAUAAAGGCCAUCCUGAGGCUACUCGCCAUUGCUAGGUGUCCCUGUCUGGGGAUGACAAAGAUGAUCGAACGUCUGCAGGAAGAGAAACGGAGGAAUCGUUUGCUUUGACCGAUCUGCUGUGACCUUGCUUGCCCCUUGGUGAGAAUAUAUAUAGACGAGGAUUAAUUCGUUCCCAGGAGAGAAAUCAAGGCCAGCAUUAAUUUGUUUCUAGUAUUAGUUUUGGACCUUUUAUUUGCAUUGAAUUCAUUCUUGAUAUCAAACAAAAUAACCAAUCGACGGAGUUUUGCCAUAUAAAAUAAUUAUAAAUACUACUGUAUUUCUUUGGCCAACUUUAAAUGCGUUUUAAGUUAAUGCUAAAUAUAUUUCCUACUUCAAAAAUCCAUUUGGUCCUUAUCUCAAAUUACCCUAAUUUUAUCUUUUUAUUUUUGAGUAGACAAAUUGCCCUUAUUACCUUGCGUGACAACGCAUUGGAUAGCAAGUUGAUUGAGUGGCAUAAGAGCAAAUCCGACCUUCUAUACAUGCGAAGACUAUCCGAGUAAGCCCGUGGACGCAUCCGGAUGGCCNCAGUCCAAAUGGCAGCAAAUAUGUAGGUCAAAAUGACAGAAUUAUUAAGCUUGAUUUUCAUUGACUGCCAGAUCACAAAUUCAUACAUAACAUUUUCAUUACAGUACAUACUAAAUCCACUUGCCAAACUGAAAUUUGGUACACUAGCAUUUUCCCAACAACUACACCUACCACAAAGACAAUGAAAACCAUCAGCACAUUCAUAUAUUUCCCCUUCAUUGCUUCUAGUUAUGCAUUCCUCUCAUUUAACUGAAGCUGAAGAGCCAUAACCAUUGAUGCUUCAUGUCCAGGCAUAGGAACAUUUAUACACUCAUCUUCAGUCUGAGCCACAGAUCUUUGACCCUUUAGCCUCCACACCUCGUCUCUCAAAUCUCCAAUCAGGUCACUAUAAUACUUGGGCAAAGGAUCAUCAUGUCAUUCCACAUAGCCACGUCCACCAUGUUAUUCAACAAAAAUGAGGCAAGAACAAGAAAUCAAUUUCAGACAAGACCAAACAAAUUAGCAGAAGAGAAAGGAUAUGAGCACUCAAAUUGGGGCUCACCAUUACAUCUACGCAUGAGUAGUACCUCCUGCCGGGAUUUUGACGGCUCCACGAGAUCCACCUCGGUGCCUUCCGCGGCUCUCUGCAGUGACACAGCUCCGCGGCUCGUAGUCCAUUGGGUUCUCCCUGUAAGCGACAGGAGACCUCGAAUCUGUGCCCCUCCUUCCACUCGCGCGACGGAAACCGGGGGCGGAAGAAGCCCCGGAAGUCCACAACAUCGCGCCGCCGCCGUGCCCUGCGCCCCGUCACCCGUGCCUCCGCGGUGCUCUGCACCCCGUCGCCCCUGCCGCCGCUAACCCUAGCUUCUGUGCGCCCAAAUACCCCGAGCGCACCAGUUAGGUCAACGAUAAAUCACUCGCUGGCCCACGAGUCAGUAAAUCCCGGUUGACUACGGCCAACUCAGCGUUUUUUCCACUAAAAGGUUGUCAGGGUUCGUACUCCCUCCGUCUCAAAAUGCUUGUCUUUAAUUUGUUUAGAUAUGAACGUAUCUAGUCAUGUAUUAGUAUUUAGAUACAUCCAUUUUUAGACAAACCAAAGACAAGAAUUUUGGGACGGAGGGAGUAUUAGACAAGGAUUAGUGAGUUGAGAGUGCCAAUUUCGGAGAUUGUAAGUUUGGGGUUCGAUUUAGCUAGUGGUUACCACUUCAAUGUUUAUUUUGGACCUUUUCCUUGUAAAAAUGGAAGCAACAGCCUCAAUACCAGCCGGGAUACCUUGCGUGAGUAAUGCUACAUGACCAACGCCAAAUGAUAAAAAAAAAGACAAAGAAUAUGAAUCUUGACGUCUAGAUCAUGUGGUUAAUUAGAUACUAGAUGUGAGAUAACUAUAUCACAUCUAGAUAAGAAAGUAGCAAAUAUGUAAACGCACAGUCACGCAACUCGCGCGAGAAAAUAAGAAGGACAAAGAAAUGAAAUCACAUGCUUUUCGAAAAACUAGUUUGAAAAUAAUGGUAGGAAUUCUUCCAAACACAUUACACCAUUGCCGGCCUCUAUAUAGGCCGAGUAACCUAGUAAUAUCUCUGCCACAUUUGUGGCCCGCGAAAAGUACGAUGGAACAAUCCCAUUUGGCAGUACACAAAAUAUAUGGGAAUUUUCCUAAGAAAAACAAAAUGGAACAAAGAAAACACUUGGCGGCUCCACAGAGAAAUUUGACAUGGAGGCAGCUAGCACGGUGAUGACUGGCCGAUUAGCAGCCGUUGCAGCCGCACUUUUGUUGCACGAGGUUGCACUUGCCGCUGGGAUCGCAGUUGAAGGUGGAGCAGCAGCUCGUGAUCUGGCAGCUGCCCGGGUUCGACUUGGAGCAGCACCGGCACUGGAGGCACGCUGGCGCUCCCGCUGCCAACGUCCCCGCGCCGCCGCCCGGGAUCGCCGUCAGCGCGUGCUCAGGCGCCCCCACCGGCACCAUGUCCGCAUCCCAUGCUGGUCAUUAGUCACGGCAGAAAAAACAAUCAGCGAUCA